GAGCGGACCCCCGGGGCUAGCCGGCCCGCUCGCCGCCAUUGUGGAUACCCUUAUUCCAAAACUAAAAUCGGUCAACUCUUUUCCCCUUUCUUCCUUCUCAUUUUCAAAAUCCCCAAUUUAGCUAGGAACCCUAGCUCUCUUUCUCUCCCUCAUUCUCGGCUCCUCUUGGCGGCGUAACAUUGCCGCCUCCGUCGCUCACGGCUCACGGCGCCACCACCAGCCGCCGUUUCCUCUGACGACGUCACGACGGAGCUCUUUGUCUCCCGUCGCGCAUCGCCGGACGACCUCCCUCUAAGCUAAGUCUUUUAUCCUAUCUUAUUUCAAUUAGGCUUCACGGGCAGUAGCUAUGGAGGCUCUCUAUUUUGGUGUUGGGAGUAUUUAAAUUCUAUAAAAGCAUGUUCUUAUUCUAAAUAUAUCACGUCACAAAAUUAAAACUUGACAGUAGUUUUGUUAAGAUGGAGUUCUGGUGUUCUCUGUGAAGAAAUCAUGGUUGUGGGUUUAUAACUAUGUGAUGACAUGGAGCAAAUUUGAGACUUUGGGUGAGGAGUGUGUUACCUCUUGAAAAUGACAGUAGCUUGAAUUUCUAGUUUCCAAAAUCCUCAAAGUUCACUCCCUGGGAAGAAAGAAGAAAAUGUUACCUAUGGGUUGGGAGCUGUCUGCAAGAACUCUGCAGAAACUCUACUCCAAGCUCUCACACUCUCAAACUUGCUAUUGUGGCUGAAAUUUCAAAUUGUGUGGGGGGUGUCUAACGGUGGUAUGGAGAGGGUUUUAUAGGCAAGAAAGAUGUACGUAGAAGAAUUAAAUGGGCUGUCCAGCCUCUUUGUUUUAAUUUUGCUGAAAAUCCCUUGUUGGUGAUCCUCACCACCCUUUCAAUUAUUUCAUUCGUCUCUUUCUUGGAGCAUAAGUACUCCCUUCAUUAAGGUUACUUGUUUGGAUGUGCAGGGAGAGCAGGUGGCUGUUAGGAACAGGUACUGCAGGGCUGACCUUGCCAUUUUCUAACUCUCUCUUCACUAAGUGGUGCAGCGGCUGUUUGAGGGAGGGAGAAUGCAGGCUUUGACUUGCCUCUUUAGGCAAGUUCUUGGUCUACCAUGCUAAAAGAAGUGGGCAAAACCUGGGCUGCCGCAUUGUUUCCGGGCUUGGCCCACUGCCCUCGGCCCGACGGAUUGCUCAAAAACGAGCCGUGAUUUCGGGCCUGAAGGAGAGGCCCGAAGUGCCAUUAAAAUUCUUAUAUUUCGUUUCCUUUCUUCGUGUAAUUAGUUGAUAGCUUAUUGUGUAUGUAAAAGACAUUCAAACUCCUUUGGUUCGAAAUAAACUCUUGUUUUCUCUUCUAUAAA
Salvia splendens (bonfire salvia) is the source of this 1334-nucleotide long non-coding RNA. RefSeq lists it as uncharacterized. The record is from RefSeq and is a predicted model, not a curated record. NCBI's taxonomy places the organism in Eukaryota, Viridiplantae, Streptophyta, Magnoliopsida, Lamiales, Lamiaceae. The transcript is spliced from 3 exons.